CAAAAGUGUAUAUUAAAGCUGUUGCAGUUAAAAAGCUCGUAGUUGGAUCCUGGACGUUCUGGGCGGGCGGUCGGCCUCACCGGCUGACGUCGGCUACGCUCAGGUCUAUUUUGAGGGGAGGAUCCUGGUGCCCUUCGCCGGGUGCCGGGGUCUGCCCGCAAGUCUUACUUUGAAAAAAUCAGAGUGCUCAAAGCAGGCCGGUAGAGCCUGAAUGCAAUUUCAUGGAAUAAACGAACAAGACCUCAGGAUUGCUUGGUUUCCAGUUCUAGAGGUAAUGAUUAAGAGGGCCUGCCGGGGGCAUACGUAUUGCAGGGCGAGAGGUGAAAUUCAGUGACCCUUGCAAGACGACCUAAAGCGAAAGCAUUUGCCAAGAAUGGUUUCCUUGA
RNAcentral lists this ribosomal RNA (386 nucleotides) under uncultured eukaryote. RNAcentral describes it as "partial 18S ribosomal RNA". It matches the Rfam family "Eukaryotic small subunit ribosomal RNA", at positions 592 to 976 of the family's 1831-position model. The record is from RNAcentral.